RNAcentral lists this small RNA (588 nucleotides) under Pan troglodytes (chimpanzee). RNAcentral describes it as "retained intron". Lineage: Eukaryota; Metazoa; Chordata; Mammalia; Primates; Hominidae. The record is from RNAcentral.
UGCUGCCUACAUGAGCAAGGUGGAGCUGGAGGCCAAGGUGGAUGCCCUGAAUGAUGAGAUCAACUUCCUCAGGACCCUCAAUGAGACGGAGUUGACAGAGCUGCAGUCCCAGAUCUCCGACACAUCUGUGGUGCUGUCCAUGGACAACAGUCGCUCCCUGGACCUGGAUGGCAUCAUCGCUGAGGUCAAGGCGCAGUAUGAGGAGAUGGCCAAAUGCAGCCGGGCUGAGGCUGAAGCCUGGUACCAGACCAAGGUGUGAGGCCACCAGGGGCAUACUUCCUCCUGCCAGGGUCCUUGUUGGCAGCUUCCCUUACUCCUCAACUUGUCUCAAGCCUUCAGGGCCUGGGUCCCACUGUUCUGGCAGGCACCAGUGGUUUAAGUCUGUGGUGCUCUGCCCUGGAGAAAAUCCCAAGAUGGGAGGACAGGGCAGAGGAAAUAGAUAUGGAUUAAUCAUUAUAAUAGCUAAAAUAUGGCAAGUACUCACACAGUACUAGGCUCAUGUAAUUAUUGACUCAUGUAAUCCACAGAACAGCCCUAUUAGAUAGGCAUCAUUAUUACCCCCAUUUUGUUUUAUUUAAUUUAAUUUAU